RNAcentral lists this ribosomal RNA (491 nucleotides) under uncultured bacterium. Its description in RNAcentral is "partial 16S ribosomal RNA". It matches the Rfam family "Bacterial small subunit ribosomal RNA", at positions 29 to 507 of the family's 1533-position model. The record is from RNAcentral.
AGUGAACGCUGGCGGUAGGCCUAACACAUGCAAGUCGAACGGCAGCACAGUAAGAGCUUGCUCUUACGGGUGGCGAGUGCGGACGGGUGAGGAAUACAUCGGAAUCUACUUUUUCGUGGGGGAUAACGUAGGGAAACUUACGCUAAUACCGCAUACGACCUACGGGUGAAAGCAGGGGAUCUUCGGACCUUGCGCGAUUGAAUGAGCCGAUGUCGGAUUAGCUAGUUGGCGGGGUAAAGGCCCACCAAGGCGACGAUCCGUAGCUGGUCUGAGAGGAUGAUCAGCCACACUGGAACUGAGACACGGUCCAGACUCCUACGGGAGGCAGCAGUGGGGAAUAUUGGACAAUGGGCGCAAGCCUGAUCCAGCCAUACCGCGUGGGUGAAGAAGGCCUUCGGGUUGUAAAGCCCUUUUGUUGGGAAAGAAAGGCAGCAGGUUAAUACCCCGCUGUUCUGACGGUACCCAAAGAAUAAGCACCGGCUAACUUCGUG